AAUUGACGGGCCCGCACAAGCAGCGGAGCGUGUGGUUUAAUUCGAUGUUACACGAAGAACCUUACCAGGAUUUGACAUGCAAGUGGUAGGAAGCCGAAAGGUGACCGACCCUUCGGGGAGCUUGCACAGGUGCUGCAUGGCUGUCGUCAGCUCGUGUCGUGAGAUGUUCGGUUAAGUCCGCUAACGAGCGCAACCCUCGCUGUGUGUUAUAUGUGUCACACGGGACUGCCGGUCUUAAGCCGGAGGAAGGUGGGGAUGAUGUCAAGUCAGCAUGGCCUUUAUAUCCUGGGCUACACACACGCUACAAUGGCCAACACAAUAGGUUGCUAAGCCGCGAGGUGGCGCCAAUCCAUAAAGUUGGUCUCAGUUCAGAUUGUAGGCUGCAACCCGCCUGCAUGAAGAUGGAGUUGCUAGUAACCGCAGGUCAGCUACACUGCGGUGAAUACGUUCCCGGGGCUU
Molecule: ribosomal RNA, 459 nt
Filed under: uncultured Leptolinea sp.
Lineage: Bacteria; Bacillati; Chloroflexota; Anaerolineae; Anaerolineales; Anaerolineaceae
Description: bacterial SSU rRNA
Rfam family: Bacterial small subunit ribosomal RNA
Source: RNAcentral